This 374-nucleotide ribosomal RNA is filed under the name uncultured organism. Its description in RNAcentral is "partial 16S ribosomal RNA". It matches the Rfam family "Bacterial small subunit ribosomal RNA", at positions 527 to 896 of the family's 1533-position model. The record is from RNAcentral.
GUAGGUGGCAAGCGUUGUCCGGAAUUAUUGGGGCGUAAAGCGCGCGCAGGCGGUUCUUUAAGUCUGAUGUGAAAGCCCACGGGCUCAACCGUGGAGGGUCAUUGGAAACUGGAGAACUUGAGUACAGAAGAGGAAAGCGGAAUUCCACGUGUAGCGGUGAAAUGCGUAGAGAUGUGGAGGAACACCAGUGGCGAAGGCGGCUUUCUGGUCUGUAACUGACGCUGAGGCGCGAAGGCGUGGGGAGCAAACAGGAUUAGAUACCCUGGUAGUCCACGCCGUAAACGAUGAGUGCUAAGUGUUAGGGGGUUUCCGCCCCUUAGUGCUGCAGCUAACGCAUUAAGCACUCCGCCUGGGGAGUACGGCCGCAAAGGCUG